RNAcentral lists this ribosomal RNA (253 nucleotides) under uncultured bacterium. Its description in RNAcentral is "partial 16S ribosomal RNA". It matches the Rfam family "Bacterial small subunit ribosomal RNA", at positions 524 to 776 of the family's 1533-position model. The record is from RNAcentral.
UACGUAGGGUGCAAGCGUUGUCCGGAAUUAUUGGGCGUAAAGGGCUCGUAGGCGGUUUGUCGCGUCGGGAGUGAAAACUCAGGGCUUAACCCUGAGCCUGCUUCCGAUACGGGCAGACUAGAGGUAUGCAGGGGAGAAUGGAAUUCCUGGUGUAGCGGUGAAAUGCGCAGAUAUCAGGAGGAACACCGAUGGCGAAGGCAGGUCUCUGGGCUGACACUGACGCUCAUGCACGAAAGUGUGGGGAUCAAACAGG